CAGGGAGACAACAAAAUGUUUAAUAUUAUUAUUUUGUCACCUUAGGUCGAUCGGUAUCUCACGUUCUUAAUUUGUUAAGAAUUUCAUUUCCUAAGUUUUUCUAGGUCACACCCAUUAUUUUUCCUGGGCCAUUAGCUCAGGUGGUUAGAGCGCACCCCUGAUAAGGGUGAGGUCCCUGGUUCAAGUCCAGGAUGGCCCAUAUCUCUAUGUUGGGGGUAUAGCUCAGUUGGUAGAGCGCCUGCUUUGCAAGCAGGAUGUCAGCGGUUCGAGUCCGCUUACCUCCACUGAUUACCACCUCUUACAUAACUGGUAAAAAGGAAAUGUUUUGAGUUGUGAUCAUUAUUCUGAACGAAUCUAGCUUCCUAAUGAAAUCAUUAAGAUGCUGGACUCAUUGAAUUAAUUUCAUUGUUUUCAGAGAACCUUGACAACUGCAUAGAUUAUUUUUAAAGACAAUAAGCAUCUUUAAUGAUGCAGAUUUAUUAUUUGUGCGAAUGCAUUAAUAACAAUUCUAUUAAGCUGAUGCUUCAAUUUUUUGAAGUUAUU
This 543-nucleotide transfer RNA is filed under the name uncultured Prochlorococcus sp. RNAcentral's name for it is "partial 16S-23S ribosomal RNA intergenic spacer". The stretch from base 212 to 284 matches the Rfam family "tRNA". Lineage: Bacteria; Bacillati; Cyanobacteriota; Cyanophyceae; Synechococcales; Prochlorococcaceae. The record is from RNAcentral.